Molecule: ribosomal RNA, 253 nt
Filed under: uncultured bacterium
Lineage: Bacteria
Description: partial 16S ribosomal RNA
Rfam family: Bacterial small subunit ribosomal RNA
Source: RNAcentral
UACGUAGGGGGCAAGCGUUGUCCGGAAUCAUUGGGCGUAAGGAGCGUGUAGGCGGCCCGAUAAGUCCGCUGUGAAAGUCCAGGGCUCAACCCUGGAAUGCCAGUGGAAACUGUCGGGCUGGAGUCCGGAAGAGGCGAGUGGAAUUCCUGGUGUAGCGGUGAAAUGCGCAGAUAUCAGGAGGAACACCAAUGGCGAAGGCAGCUCGCUGGGACGGUACUGACGCUGAGACGCGAAAGCGUGGGGAGCAAACAGG